CGGGUUGUUGUGUGUGGGUGACAGAGAGUAUAGAGAUGAGAGAGAAACAAAUUGGAUAAGCGAGGAAGGUGGAUUAGGGUUAGACAAGUGUUUUUGAUUUUUUCAAUUGGGGGUACAUUAGGGAUGACCGAGAAAAGGUUGGAGUGAGAGAGAUGAAAGAGAAAGGAUUGAGAAGAAUGAGAGAGGUGAGUAAGGGUGUUAAGCCUCUGACAAGUGUACCGAAUCGUAUCAAGUAAUAUAAAUGGUAAGACUGAGUAUCGUUUUCCCUAGAGACUCAUUGGCCUAGAAAGUCAUGUGAUUUGUUGAUUAUUUAAAACUUAAGGACAAAAACAUUUGGGUUUUUGUAAUGCAGAAAAUUAAAUAUGAAUGCAAGUGUUGAUCAAUUGACCAAAGAAUGUGCAAGUGAAUGGUUGAUAAAAUAUGGAAUGAUUAUGUUGUUGGGGUUUCCGACUUAUCCUAUCCACUCUCAUGUAUUUAUGAAUUUGACACCUUCAUUAAUGAUAAUGCCACUUUCUAAUUUACUUUAAACUCGAUGUCUCGGUGAAGAAAGCCUACUCUUAAUUACUAGUUCACAAUGUCUUGUAUCCCUAGCAACUAAUUAUGCAUUACAUUCGCACAGAAACUUAGAGGUAACCAACCCUCC
RNAcentral lists this long non-coding RNA (643 nucleotides) under Vigna radiata. RNAcentral's name for it is "long non-coding RNA (VRAD_LNC008389)". The record is from RNAcentral. Lineage: Eukaryota; Viridiplantae; Streptophyta; Magnoliopsida; Fabales; Fabaceae.